CAACAUAUUUUCCUCUCCUUCCUUUCAGCACUGACACAUCCCCCUCUCCUAUCUCUCUUCGAUUUUCCAUUCAUUGGCCAUCGCCACCUCCUCCUGCUGUCAUCGCCUCCUCGCCACCGUGUCUCCGGUUCUCUUUCUUUCUAUUUCAACAUCACGGGCAAGAGAGGGAGUUGCGAUUUUGAUCGACAGCUCAGUCUUCUCUCCCCGUCUUUCUGGCGACACUAGCUUCCUUCCUGCCGAUUGCAUAGCUCUAAUCUCUCUCUCUCUCUCUCUCUCUCUCUCUCUCUCUUCAUUUCUGGUUGGCACAACAAACGCAAGGAACUGCGGUCGCGCUUGGAUCGAGACAGUAGCGAUACAGCCCUGUUCCUUUGUUUUUCCGGCGAUGCCUGUCCGUAGCCAACAUUGUGAUCUGACCUUCUCACUUGCAGCUUCUCUGGCCACUAUCUCCUUCGCUUUCAAUCGAACUAGCGGCGGCAGUAACCGGUUUGGAGAAUAAAUGUAAUUGUCGAUUGUUUUAACGGGAAAUUCCAAUUUUUGACGCGAUCUACUGUUGAGAUGAAGUGAGUUACCAUUGGGUUUGCGAGGGUGGUCUACGAUACCGUCGACCAUGUAUAAGGAGAUCAGCGCUCCCGUGUGUAUAUUAUGAUAUCAAUGAUAUGGAAAAACCACAGGGUGGCCUCCUAUUGGUAAUGGAAAAGAAAAGAGAAACUGGAAAAACAAUGAGAAGGUUGGUUAAGUGAGAAUUAGACCGGUUGGCCAUUUAUUGGGGAUCGGCUCCCUGGUGCACAUGUCAUGAGAGGAUGGGCCAUGUCUGAUGAUGGCUCAUCGGGGUUUCGGUGAUGCCACAGACCAAUCUCUACGUGUUUCAUUAUAUGAUGAUGUACUUGUAUGUGAGUGCUGAUAUUGUACCAUAUGUUUGAUUGAGAAGUAGAUUCUUCUUUGUUUCGGCUAAAACUCUGUUUCCUUGGCUGCAGAGCUAAAAAAGAAAUUUCCCAGUUCUAGUAAGUAUUUAAAUUGUGAGCGUUAUAUACAAGAACUUAUUUAAUCCUUUUUGAUAUUAAACUCCACAAUUGUAGAAUUAUGGUAAUUCUAAUUUGGUGUAACUAUGGGUAUGUUAACUAAUUACUUAUGUGGGUGGUUUAGACAUCUGUAUAUAUGCAUGUAUGAACCAUUUGGCUCAUAUUAUGGGUAUUAUGUAUAAUUGGGUUCGAGUUAAGAAUUAUUAGAGAUGUUGAAAAUGAGUCAAGAUAUAACAUGAUUAUUUGUAUAUAAAGUAAUAUGGGCUUACGGUUCUUGAGAUCCAUUUUGAAGUGAUUAAGUUUAGUAGUUUAGGCUUACAAUGGGCCUUGAGGGUCUUAUGCUUACUUGGACCCUAGUGUCGGUCCGGCCAUGAUUUUGGAUCGUUACACCUAGAUACCUUCAAAUCAUGUAUAUAUCCCACACAUGGAUAUACCUUACCUUUUCAAAUACAAAAGACCUAGUAACUUUGUCAUAUUCUUACCGUAAAAUCCUAGCUUUCUAGAUAUCUUUCCUUUUUACUCUAAGACCCUUAUAUUCUUUAUCCUUGUUUUAAAGGAAACCAAGUCUGGGAGAAACUAGAAACAAUCAACCGAAUGCUCUCCAAGAGCAAUUUAGCUGCUGCAAUAGAGAAACAAGAGGAGACUUGUUUUCCCUUAUAGCAACCCAAGAGAGGGGAGAGUGAAUUGGAUUAAUUAUUAUUAUUAUUAUUAUUUUUUUUAGAAGAGCUUGGCAAAUGAAGAUGAAUUGGAAAUCAAGAAAAUUAAGAAGGAAUGAAGCUAUGGAGUUGUACUAUUUGAUUAGAAUAGAUGGUCAGUUUCCUUCUCUUAGUUCUUUGAAUGUUUACUAAGAUCUUUGGUUGAUUUUAAGCAAUUUGAUAAUGUUAUGAUUUGUUUUUGGAGAUAUAAGAAUCGUGUUUUAGGUUGGCGACCAUUAUGUAUGGAUUUCCCAUACAUAACAAGUGAGCUAUUGAUAAGGAUGGAGGGAAUUUGAUGCAUCAAAUGUCAUUGAAUUGUUUUCUGUUAGAGAUAUUGGAGCCAUCCCUAGCAUUCUGUUGUGUAAGCAUGAUAGGAUUGAUAGGAAAAUUUGGCAUUAUGAGAGGCAAGGGUGCUAUAGUAUGAAAAGUAGGUAUUUCCUAAGCCAAAGAUUUUUAGGGAGGGAAGUUAAUAGGGUAGAGGGUGAUUUUUGGAAUGGAGUUUGGAAUUUAGAUAUCUAUCAAGGAUUACGAAUUUUAUGUAGAUAGGAUUAGGAGGUAUUUUGCCAACAAAAGGUAAAUUAAUUGCUAGAGAAAUGCCAAUAGAUGGGGGCUGUGUUUAUUGUGGAUUUUAUGAAGAUAUAUUAAUCAUGCUUUGUUGGGAUGCUAUAAAGCAAGAAAUGUUUGGAGAUAUUAUGGUUUUGGAGAUCUUAACUUUGAUGUUUCUUUUAAAGGUUCUUUUUCAUAUGUUUGGAGAUCUUUUGCUAAGGGAAGGGUAACUUUGUAGUACUCGCAUGGAAAAUCUGGCAUGCGAGAAACAAGUUGGUAUGGGAACAAAAGGAGCUCUGUGUUGGAGGUAUCUACCAUGCAGCUUGCCAUUUGUGAGUUCCUGAUCAAGCCAUGCAACAUCAAGCUAAUUCUCGUGUUCUGCGCUAUGGCGUUCCUGCUGAGUGAUGGCUGGUGUUGCUUUGUUGAUUGGGCACUCUUUAACCAGUUUGGAAUAUCGAGAUAAUUUGGUGGUGUUGUAGAAGAUUCCGAAGGUUUUUCCAGGCAUGCAAUUCAGGGCGUUUUCAAGGUAUUCCGACAGCUGAGAUGGUUGAAGCCAUGGCUUCGAAAUCAACCCUUUCAUGGUUGGAACAUCAUUUCAUGGGUCCGGGUUUUGUUUUUUUGGAUUCACAAGUUGUAAUUCAUGCUUUAUGUUCCAACUCUUUAUAUUUAUCUGACUUUGUAUGGUUAUCAAGGAUUAGCUAACAGGUCUGAUAUUCUAUUAGGUGGAUUCGAAGGCAAGCAAAUGCGAAGGUUCAUUCUCUUGCAAGAGCUUCGGAUCUCCAAGCUAUUUUUCAAGUUUGUAACUCUGUUCCAAAUGUCUUGUUGAAUUUCUAUCAGUACGUUAGUUCCAAGAUUUUUUCCUCCAGUGAGCCUAAAGGUGUGCGAUUAACAAAGCAUUGGGAUCUAGCUGCUUCAGUUGCUCCCGGUAUUCACAUCCUGGAUUUAUAAUUAUUUCUUAAUAAACAUAUGAUAUAUCUCAAUACACAUUAUACUAAUAAUAUGGUCUCAGCAAAUAAAAAUCAUUAUCUUAAUAAGUAUAAUAUAUUGUGCAUUAUAAAAAAAAAAAUACGGAAACAUAAUUCAAGUAAUAAUAUUUAUUAACAAACAACAAACAACAAAACAUGUUCUCAACACAUUUCAUAAAAGAUUACAAACGAUAAAUAUUAGUUAUCAAAAAAUUUUAUUAACAUAUAAAAAAGUAACUAGAAAAAAGUGUAAUGGAAAAAAAAACAAAAAGAAAAAAAUUUUGGUUCAGAUCUCAUUUCCAAAUCCAUAGUUACCCGAUCUUUAAAUGAUCCAAUUUUAUUCACCCCUUCAAAUUCGAGCAGGUAUUCCAUGGGUUGGAUGAAAUGAGCAUCCCCAGGCUAGAGCACAUAUUUUUGGUCUUGGGCGUCAAACUUGCAGCUUCUUUCUUUUUACUUCCUCAAAUAACUGGUUGUGAAAAGGUACAGCAGAUCCAUUAUAACUACUUUGAUCUCCUCAAAAAAGUACAUAUUACGAACUUGCUCGCUCCAAUAUGGCAAUUAAACACGGAAUUUUUCUGUGAAGAACAGCGUAGCUGAACAUCUUGGAGCAGUCUACAACUUGUUAAUGAUCAUUGCAUGUACUUGAUCUAGGGGACAUAGCUAAAACACC
This is a long non-coding RNA of Jatropha curcas, 3895 nucleotides long. RefSeq lists it as uncharacterized. NCBI's taxonomy places the organism in Eukaryota, Viridiplantae, Streptophyta, Magnoliopsida, Malpighiales, Euphorbiaceae. The record is from RefSeq and is a predicted model, not a curated record.